CAGAGGUCACUUCUGUUCUCUGCAUGUUGGAAAAACCAAAUAGUUCGCCAUGUAAAUAGCAAGGACAGUAUCACGAAGCUAUCUGUAUAAUAUACUCUUUCUAUUCCCCGGCGUGAUGAUUGAUUAUAGUCAAUGAUACUUAAUAGUUUUGAUACCUUUCAGUGACGUUUGUGAAAUCUAAAAUCUGUGUAAAUUGUCUGUGUUAGUUAUGACACUAGGAAACGUAUGUGCUAUUAUUUCCUUGAUUGUGUGUCUUUCAUCAAGAACCCUAAGUGUUGAAGGCGAUUCAAACGGUCGUCCUCCUCAGUCUGAGAAUGGAAGAUUAACGUCAGCGGUCAUUUAUGUUCGGAAAACCGUCAGACAGGUACAAGGAGGCUGGUGUACGAUCCCUGACCAGUUACAGAACGGCCGCUACUCCCCCAGCAGUAAGAGAUGC
Macrosteles quadrilineatus (aster leafhopper) is the source of this 436-nucleotide long non-coding RNA. RefSeq lists it as uncharacterized. The record is from RefSeq and is a predicted model, not a curated record. NCBI's taxonomy places the organism in Eukaryota, Metazoa, Arthropoda, Insecta, Hemiptera, Cicadellidae. The transcript has 3 exons.